GGCCUAACACAUGCAAGUCGAACGGUUAGUAGCAAUACUAAUAGUGGCGCACGGGUGCGUAACACGUAACUAACCUGCCCAAGACUGGGGGAUAGCCCGCCGAAAGGCGGAUUAAUACCGCAUAACACUUUUGAGUGGCAUCACUUGAUAGUUAAACCUGAGGGGGUCUUGGAUGGGGUUGCGGGUCAUUAGCUAGUUGGGUGGGUAACGGCUGCCCAAGGCGACGAUGACUAGGGGAGCUGAGAGGCUGGUCCCCCACACGGGCACUGAGAUACGGGCCCGACUCCUACGGGAGGCAGCAGUAGGGAAUAUUGGGCAAUGGGCGAGAGCCUGACCCAGCCAUGCCGCGUGCAGGAAGAAGGCUUUCUGAGUCGUAAACUGCUUUUGACAGGGAAGAAUAAGCUGGACGUGUCCAGUGAUGACGGUACCUGCAGAAUAAGCACCGGCUAACUCCGUGCCAGCAGCCGCGGUAAU
RNAcentral lists this ribosomal RNA (474 nucleotides) under uncultured bacterium. RNAcentral describes it as "bacterial SSU rRNA". It matches the Rfam family "Bacterial small subunit ribosomal RNA", at positions 45 to 524 of the family's 1533-position model. The record is from RNAcentral.